GAUGAAGCCUUUCGGGGUGGAUUAGUGGCGAACGGGUGAGUAACACGUGGGCAAUCUGCCCUGCACUCUGGGACAAGCCCUGGAAACGGGGUCUAAUACCGGAUAUGACUGCUGACCGCAUGGUUGGUGGUGGAAAGCUCCGGCGGUGCAGGAUGAGCCCGCGGCCUAUCAGCUUGUUGGUGGGGUGAUGGCCUACCAAGGCGACGACGGGUAGCCGGCCUGAGAGGGCGACCGGCCACACUGGGACUGAGACACGGCCCAGACUCCUACGGGAGGCAGCAGUGGGGAAUAUUGCACAAUGGGCGCAAGCCUGAUGCAGCGACGCCGCGUGAGGGAUGACGGCCUUCGGGUUGUAAACCUCUUUCAGCAGGGAAGAAGCGUGAGUGACGGUACCUGCAGAAGAAGCGCCGGCUAACUACGUGCCAGCAGCCGCGGUAAUACGUAGGGCGCGAGCGUUGUCCGGAAUUAUUGGGCGUAAAGAGCUCGUAGGCGGCUUGUCGCGUCGGAUGUGAAAGCCCGGGGCUUAACUCCGGGUCUGCAUUCGAUACGGGCAGGCUAGAGUUCGGUAGGGGAGAUCGGAAUUCCUGGUGUAGCGGUGAAA
Molecule: ribosomal RNA, 601 nt
Filed under: Streptomyces sp. KLBMP 4348
Lineage: Bacteria; Bacillati; Actinomycetota; Actinomycetes; Kitasatosporales; Streptomycetaceae
Description: bacterial SSU rRNA
Rfam family: Bacterial small subunit ribosomal RNA
Source: RNAcentral